UACGGAGGGUGCAAGCGUUAUCCGGAUUCACUGGGUUUAAAGGGUGCGUAGGUGGGAAUGUAAGUCAGUGGUGAAAUCUCCGUGCUUAACAUGGAAACUGCCAUUGAUACUAUGUUUCUUGAAUUAUCUGGAGGUCAGCGGAAUAUGUCAUGUAGCGGUGAAAUGCUUAGAUAUGACAUAGAACACCAAUUGCGAAGGCAGCUGGCUACAGGUUGAUUGACACUGAGGCACGAAAGCGUGGGGAUCAAACAGG
This 253-nucleotide ribosomal RNA is filed under the name uncultured bacterium. RNAcentral's name for it is "partial 16S ribosomal RNA". It matches the Rfam family "Bacterial small subunit ribosomal RNA", at positions 524 to 776 of the family's 1533-position model. The record is from RNAcentral.